AUGAACGCUGGCGGCGUGCCUCAUACAUGCCAGUCGAGCGAACAGACGAGGAGCUUGCUCCUCUGACGUUAGCGGCGGACGGGUGAGUAACACGUGGAUAACCUACCUAUAAGACUGGGAUAACUUCGGGAAACCGGAGCUAAUACCGGAUAAUAUAUUGAACCGCAUGGUUCAAUAGUGAAAGACGGUUUUGCUGUCACUUAUAGAUGGAUCCGCGCCGCAUUAGCUAGUUGGUAAGGUAACAGCUUACCAAGGCGACGAUGCGUAGCCGACCUGAGAGGGUGAUCGGCCACACUGGAACUGAGACACGGUCCAGACUCCUACGGGAGGCAGCAGUAGGGAAUCUUCCGCAAUGGGCGAAAGCCUGACGGAGCAACGCCGCGUGAGUGAUGAAGGUCUUCGGAUCGUAAAACUCUGUUAUUAGGGAAGAACAAAUGUGUAAGUAACUAUGCACGUCUUGACGGUACCUAAUCAGAAAGCCACGGCUAACUACGU
RNAcentral lists this ribosomal RNA (495 nucleotides) under uncultured bacterium. RNAcentral's name for it is "partial 16S ribosomal RNA". It matches the Rfam family "Bacterial small subunit ribosomal RNA", at positions 29 to 506 of the family's 1533-position model. The record is from RNAcentral.